RNAcentral lists this ribosomal RNA (413 nucleotides) under uncultured bacterium. RNAcentral's name for it is "bacterial SSU rRNA". It matches the Rfam family "Bacterial small subunit ribosomal RNA", at positions 355 to 775 of the family's 1533-position model. The record is from RNAcentral.
CGAGGAAUCUUGGGCAAUGGGCGCAAGCCUGACCCAGCGACGCCGCGUGGAGGAUGACGGCCCUUGGGUUGUAAACUCCUUUUCUGGGGGACGAAGGCCGCAAGGCUUGACGGUACCCCAGGAAUCAGCCACGGCUAACUACGUGCCAGCAGCCGCGGUAAUACGUAGGUGGCGAGCGUUGUCCGGAUUUAUUGGGCGUAAAGCGCGCGCAGGCGGUCCAUCGCGUCCGGUGUGAAAUCUCCCGGCUCACCUGGGAGGGGGCGCUGGAAACGGAUGGACUGGAGGCAGGCAGAGGUCGGUGGAAUUCCCGGUGUAGUGGUGAAAUGCGUAGAGAUCGGGAGGAACACCAGUGGCGAAAGCGGCCGACUGGGCCUGUCCUGACGCUGAGGCGCGAAAGCGUGGGGAGCGAACCG